Momordica charantia (bitter melon) is the source of this 1307-nucleotide non-coding RNA. The record is from RefSeq and is a predicted model, not a curated record. NCBI's taxonomy places the organism in Eukaryota, Viridiplantae, Streptophyta, Magnoliopsida, Cucurbitales, Cucurbitaceae.
AGUCAGCAAAGAAUUGAAUAACCAAAAAGGAAACCAGAAUGAUUCUCAUGGAGGAAACUUUGGACUGCUGAUGAGAAGAUGCGCUCUCAGUUAUGUUGAUGGUAUCAGAUUUGUCCAUAAAAGAGAAGAGAAAAGGAUAGGAAGGAAUAUGGAGAUGACACACCCGGCAAGCAAAAGAUAUUAGAAAAUUGCAACCGAGUGGAGUUCGAAUAGCUUUGAAGCUUGUAAAUUUGAUGAAGCCAAGCCAACAACCGCUAGAGCUGGGUGGUUUGCUUUGAAAGGUAUGCAAUUUAUGUCUGAAGCUGAUCUGUCUAGCGUGGAGUGGUCUACCCAUUUUUGUAGAUCUUCUCUAUCUCGCUUCGUGUCAACUCGCCUGAAAAGUCUUCCCUCUCCAGCUCGCUCUGCUGUAGUUUGCUAGAGAGGUCUUCCCUCUCCAGCUCACUCUACAACAACUUGCUAGAGCCCAGCAUACGUCGUUCCACGACACUUGACACUUGACACUUGACAGAUUUUGAUUAUAUACAUUACACUAAUUAAACAYGAGAUGGACCUAAUUGAUCUUAAUAGUCUAAUGACCUCUCUCUGAUCUAUUCAUCAAAUAGUCGUGUUGGAGUCUUUCAUCUACAUCCCUAUUUAAAAAAACAAUAAUUUAUAAUUAAUAAAUUAGCUUAUAUUUAAUUCAUUAGAUUGAGUAAAGGGCAAUUUUGUCACAAAAUUUAUAGCCAAAAAAGUUAUAAUGAAAAAACUUUACAUAUCCUAAAUUUGUAUUUUCUAACUUUUUACAUUAUUAAAUAAUAAAUUGAGUUAAGAAAAUUGUAGGGAGAGAAAUGAUAGAAUUUUUUAGAGAUAAAAAAAUAAUUUGUAGAAAAUAUUUAAAAAGGGAGACAAAAUUACUGAGAGAAAAGAGGAGAAUUUAGACGGGUAGGAUCCUGAGGGAGAGAGGAGAGAAAUUGAGGGAGAUAAAAUUUGUAUUUAAAUACACAAAUGGCCAUCAAAUGAAUAAUGGAAAGGGUUAAAACGCGCGGCAUAGAUAAAUUUUCUUAUAAUAGUGACUUUUAUAUAUAUUAUAGAUAUAGAUAUAAAUAUUUAAUAAUUAAUAAUUAAUUCAAAAUCUCCAAAUAGUGGAUAUUAGUUAUUGCUGAGCUAUACUCGUACGAUAGAAAUAAGAAGUUACCGUAAAUCACGAGUCAAAAAAUAGAGGAAGAGAUGAAGAAUAUAUUCCAAUCCCAUCCUAUUUAUUUAUUAUUAUUAUUAUUAUUAUUUUGUUUUGACAUACAAAUGUUUUUUUAGUCAUCAUUACAUUUUAG